AUACGGAGGAUCCGAGCGUUAUCCGGAUUUAUUGGGUUUAAAGGGUGCGCAGGCGGAAGAUUAAGUCGGCGGUGAAAUUUUGCAGCUCAACUGUAAAAGUGCCAUCGAUACUGGUUUUCUUGAGUGUGGAUGAAGUAGGCGGAAUUUGUGGUGUAGCGGUGAAAUGCAUAGAUAUCACGAGGAACUCCGAUUGCGCAGGCAGCUUACUAGGCCAUAACUGACGCUCAGGCACGAAGGCGUGGGGAUCAAACAGGAUUUGAUACCCUGGUAGUCCACGCAGUAAACGAUGAUUACUCGCUGUUUGCGAUACACAGUAAGCGGCUUAGCGAAAGCGUUAAGUAAUCCACCUGGGGAGUACGUUCGCAAGAAUGAAACUCAAAUGAAUUGACGGGG
Molecule: ribosomal RNA, 393 nt
Filed under: uncultured bacterium
Lineage: Bacteria
Description: partial 16S ribosomal RNA
Rfam family: Bacterial small subunit ribosomal RNA
Source: RNAcentral